GGAAUUUUCCGCAAUGGGCGCAAGCCUGACGGAGCAACGCCGCGUGAGGGAUGAAGGCCUCUGGGCUGUAAACCUCUUUUAUCAAGGAAGAAGAUCUGACGGUACUUGAUGAAUAAGCCACGGCUAAUUCCGUGCCAGCAGCCGCGGUAAUACGGGAGUGGCAAGCGUUAUCCGGAAUUAUUGGGCGUAAAGCGUCCGCAGGCGGUUUUACAAGUCUGUUGUUAAAACGUGGAGCUCAACUCCAUUUCGGCGAUGGAAACUGUAAGACUAGAGUGUGGUAGGGGCAGAGGGAAUUCCCGGUGUAGCGGUGAAAUGCGUAGAUAUCGGGAAGAACACCAGUGGCGAAGGCGCUCUGCUGGGCCAUAACUGACGCUCAUGGACGAAAGCCAGGGGAGCGAAAGGGAUUAGAUACCCCUGUAGUCCUGGCCGUAAACGAUGAACACUAGGUGUCGGGGGAAUCGACCCCCUCGGUGUCGUAGCCAACGCGUUAAGUGUUCCGCCUGGGGAGUACGCACGCAAGUGUGAAACUCAAAUGAAUUGACGG
RNAcentral lists this ribosomal RNA (544 nucleotides) under uncultured bacterium. Its description in RNAcentral is "bacterial SSU rRNA". It matches the Rfam family "Bacterial small subunit ribosomal RNA", at positions 358 to 916 of the family's 1533-position model. The record is from RNAcentral.